UACGUAGGGCGCAAGCGUUGUCCGGAAUUAUUGGGCGUAAAGAGCUCGUAGGCGGUCUGUUGCGUCCGCUGUGAAAACUCGGGGCUUAACCCCGAGCCUGCAGUGGAUACGGGCAGACUAGAGGUAGGUAGGGGAGAAUGGAAUUCCCGGUGUAGCGGUGAAAUGCGCAGAUAUCAGGAAGAACACCCGUGGCGAAGGCGGCUCUCUGGGACGUGACUGACGCUGAGACGCGAAAGCGUGGGGAGCGAACAGG
RNAcentral lists this ribosomal RNA (253 nucleotides) under uncultured bacterium. RNAcentral describes it as "partial 16S ribosomal RNA". It matches the Rfam family "Bacterial small subunit ribosomal RNA", at positions 524 to 776 of the family's 1533-position model. The record is from RNAcentral.